UACAGAGGUCUCAAGCGUUGUUCGGAAUCACUGGGCGUAAAGGGUGCGUAGGCGGCGGGGAAAGUCAGAUGUGAAAUCCGGAGGCUCAACCUCCGAAUGGCAUCCGAUACUACCUCGCUAGAGAUUUGUAGAGGAGCUUGGAAUUCUCGGUGUAGCAGUGAAAUGCGUAGAUAUCGAGAAGAACGCUCGCAGCGAAGGCGAAGCUCUGGGCAAAUUCUGACGCUGAGGCGCGAAAGCGUGGGUAGCAAACGGG
RNAcentral lists this ribosomal RNA (253 nucleotides) under uncultured bacterium. RNAcentral's name for it is "partial 16S ribosomal RNA". It matches the Rfam family "Bacterial small subunit ribosomal RNA", at positions 524 to 776 of the family's 1533-position model. The record is from RNAcentral.